RNAcentral lists this ribosomal RNA (812 nucleotides) under uncultured bacterium. RNAcentral describes it as "bacterial SSU rRNA". It matches the Rfam family "Bacterial small subunit ribosomal RNA", at positions 57 to 864 of the family's 1533-position model. The record is from RNAcentral.
GCAAGUCGAGCGGUAGAGAGAAGCUUGCUUCUCUUGAGAGCGGCGGACGGGUGAGUAAUGCCUAGGAAUCUGCCUGGUAGUGGGGGAUAACGUUCGGAAACGGACGCUAAUACCGCAUACGUCCUACGGGAGAAAGCAGGGGACCUUCGGGCCUUGCGCUAUCAGAUGAGCCUAGGUCGGAUUAGCUAGUUGGUGAGGUAAUGGCUCACCAAGGCGACGGUCCGUAACUGGUCUGAGAGGAUGAUCAGUCACACUGGAACUGAGACACGGUCCAGACUCCUACGGGAGGCAGCAGUGGGGAAUAUUGGACAAUGGGCGAAAGCCUGAUCCAGCCAUGCCGCGUGUGUGAAGAAGGUCUUCGGAUUGUAAAGCACUUUAAGUUGGGAGGAAGGGCAGUUGCCUAAUACGUAACUGUUUUGACGUUACCGACAGAAUAAGCACCGGCUAACUCUGUGCCAGCAGCCGCGGUAAUACAGAGGGUGCAAGCGUUAAUCGGAAUUACUGGGCGUAAAGCGCGCGUAGGUGGUUUGUUAAGUUGGAUGUGAAAUCCCCGGGCUCAACCUGGGAACUGCAUUCAAAACUGACUGACUAGAGUAUGGUAGAGGGUGGUGGAAUUUCCUGUGUAGCGGUGAAAUGCGUAGAUAUAGGAAGGAACACCAGUGGCGAAGGCGACCACCUGGACUAAUACUGACACUGAGGUGCGAAAGCGUGGGGAGCAAACAGGAUUAGAUACCCUGGUAGUCCACGCCGUAAACGAUGUCAACUAGCCGUUGGAAGCCUUGAGCUUUUAGUGGCGCAGCUAACGCAUUAAG